AUGAAGAGCUCAGCGAAAGCUUUGAAGAUCCAAUACCCCUUUCCACUGGUAUUGAAACAUCCCACCAUGAACGAGACAUUGGGGAUAUUCUCUGUGAGCUGGCCUCCCAGAUUGAUACAGAAAAUGUUUCCCUGUUUAAUAUCAGCCGGAAUCACCUAUGGGAAGGAGCGAAACGAGGCUUUAAAAAAAAAACUUUCUUACCUUGCAAAAGGCUUUCGGUGAAAUUUAUGGACGAUAUAGGAGUGAGCGAAGGAGCCGUCGACCUCGGAGGACCAAGGAGAGAAUUUUUAACCAUGCUAAUGGAGUCCUUGCACCAAGGAAGCCUCUUUGUAGGACCAGACCAUGCCAAGUUCCUAAACUACAUUAGUGGAUUGAUGGUCUCGGAUGACUAUUUUUAUGCGGGUAUGACUAUUGCAACAUCACUGGUUCAUGGAGGACCUGGCCCACAGUUCUUAUCACCAGUACUUUUGGAGGCGCUUUCAA
Long non-coding RNA from Acipenser ruthenus (sterlet), 483 nucleotides. RefSeq lists it as uncharacterized. The transcript is spliced from 3 exons. NCBI's taxonomy places the organism in Eukaryota, Metazoa, Chordata, Actinopteri, Acipenseriformes, Acipenseridae. The record is from RefSeq and is a predicted model, not a curated record.